RNAcentral lists this long non-coding RNA (207 nucleotides) under Physcomitrium patens. RNAcentral describes it as "long non-coding RNA (PPAT_LNC002766)". The record is from RNAcentral. Lineage: Eukaryota; Viridiplantae; Streptophyta; Bryopsida; Funariales; Funariaceae.
UUGUUUAAUAUGAAUGAUCGUUUCUCAAAUAAAUGAGCAAACCAUGAUAGAGCUUGUCCCGUAAGUAAGGUUCCAACAAGUCCAACACGUGACUCCUCCGUUGGAUAUCGUUCGGGCUGUAAAACUGUUAUCAACCUGAUUUGAUUGACAAAUCCUUGAAACUUGGAACGUGUUCCAUCAAACUUAUCUAGAAGGCUAACUCGAGGC